Molecule: ribosomal RNA, 429 nt
Filed under: Chloroflexota bacterium
Lineage: Bacteria; Bacillati; Chloroflexota
Description: Chloroflexi bacterium partial 16S ribosomal RNA
Rfam family: Bacterial small subunit ribosomal RNA
Source: RNAcentral
UAGGGAAUCUUCGGCAAUGGACGAAAGUCUGACCGAGCAACGCCGCGUGAGUGAAGAAGGUUUUCGGAUCGUAAAACUCUGUUGUUAGAGAAGAACAAGGACGUUAGUAACUGAACGUCCCCUGACGGUAUCUAACCAGAAAGCCACGGCUAACUACGUGCCAGCAGCCGCGGUAAUACGUAGGUGGCAAGCGUUGUCCGGCUUUAUUGGGCGUAAAGCGAGCGCAGGCGGUUUCUUAAGUCUGAUGUGAAAGCCCCCGGCUCAACCGGGGAGGGUCAUUGGAAACUGGGAGACUUGAGUGCAGAAGAGGAGAGUGGAAAUCCAUGUGUAGCGGUGAAAUGCGUAGAUAUAUGGGGGAACACCAGUGGCGAAGGCGGCCCCCUGGACAAAGACUGACGCUCAGGUGCGAAAGCGUGGGGAGCAAACAGG